GAAAAGAAACCAACAGGGAUUGCCCUAGUAACGGCGAGUGAAGCGGCAACAGCUCAAAUUUGAAAGCUGGCUCCGGCCCGCAUUGUAAUUUGCAGAGGAUGCUUUUGGCGAGGUGCCUUCCGAGUUCCCUGGAACGGGACGCCAUAGAGGGUGAGAGCCCCGUAUGGAUGGACACCAAACCUGUGUAAAGCUCCUUCAACGAGUCGAGUAGUUUGGGAAUGCUGCUCUAAAUGGGAGGUAAAUCUCUUCUAAAGCUAAAUACCGGCCAGAGACCGAUAGCGCACAAGUAGAGUGAUCGAAAGAUGAAAAGCACCUUGAAAAGGGGGUUAAACAGUACGUGAAAUUGUUGAAAGGGAAGCAUUUAUGACCAGACUUGCGCCGGGCAGCUCAUCAGGGGUUCUCCCCUGUGCACUCUGCCCGGCUCAGGCCAGCAUCGGUUCUCGUGGGAGGAUAAGAACAGUGGGAACGUGGCCCCCUCUCGGGGGGGUGUUAUAGCCCAUUGUACGAUACUCUCGUGGGGACCGAGGUUCGCGCUCCGCAAGGAUGCUGGCGUAAUGGUCAUCAAUGACCCGUCUUGAAACACGGACCAAGGAGUCGUCCAUUAGAGCGAGCGUUUGGGUGUAAAACCCGCACGCGUAAUGAAAGUGAACGCAGGUGAGAGCUUCGGCGCAUCAUCGACCGAUCCUGAUGUCUUCGGAUGGAUUUGAGUAAGAGUUUUAACGGACGGACCCGAAAGACAGUGAACUAUGCUUGUAUAGGGUGAAGCCAGAGGAAACUCUGGUGGAGGCUCGCAGCGGUUCUGACGUGCAAAUCGAUCGUCAAAUAUGAGCAUGGGGGCGAAAGACUAAUCGAACUGUCUAGUAGCUGGUUACCGCCGAAGUUUCCCUCAGGAUAGCAGUGUUGUUCUUCAGUUUUAUGAGGUAAAGCGAAUGAUUAGGGACUCGGGGGCGCUUAUUAGCCUUCAUCCAUUCUCAAACUUUAAAUAUGUAAGAAGCCCUUGUUACUUAAUUGAACGUGGGCAUUCGAAUGUACCAACACUAGUGGGCCAUUUUUGGUAAGCAGAACUGGCGAUGCGGGAUGAACCGAACGCGGGGUUAAGGCGCCAGAGUGUACGCUCAUCAGACACCACAAAAGGCGUUAGUACAUCUUGACAGCAGGACGGUGGCCAUGGAAGUCGGAAUCCGCUAAGGACUGUGUAACAACUCACCUGCCGAAUGUACUAGCCCUGAAAAUGGAUGGCGCUCAAGCGUACCGCCCAUACCCCGCCCUCAGGGUAGAAACGAUGCCCUGAGGAGUAGGCGGCCGUGGGGGUCAGUGACGAAGCCUAGGGCGUGAGCCCGG
This 1341-nucleotide ribosomal RNA is filed under the name Valsella adhaerens. RNAcentral's name for it is "eukaryotic LSU rRNA". It matches the Rfam family "Eukaryotic large subunit ribosomal RNA", at positions 56 to 1426 of the family's 3401-position model. The record is from RNAcentral. Lineage: Eukaryota; Fungi; Ascomycota; Sordariomycetes; Diaporthales; Cytosporaceae.